UCCCUUUUCAACACCUCGGCUGAAGUGCUUCUUCUCUAGUGCAUUGCUUCCCUUCAUAUGCUCUCUAUCUCAAUUUUCUAUCCAUAUUAGUUACAUUUUGCUAGGAAUACGAUUUAUUGGUAUUGCAUUGUGUCUUGGGAAUUUCUGAAGUGAAGUAUCCAUUUGGGCGAAUCAACUUCAGAAUGUCGCUGCUCGUCUAAAGAUGUGCACGUUUCUAAGAGUACUGGACAUGGUGUAAUUUCAAACCCGCUAUCAAGUAUGUUUAGAGAUGACAUUCAUAUUUGGUUUAAAGAGUGAGCCUGCUUCAUUCGGUGGAUGUGAGAAUAUGAUCAGGUGACAACAAUACAAAUCACCAAGCAAAUACUUAGCACAUCUGCAUAUUUAUUUAUU
Molecule: non-coding RNA, 390 nt
Organism: Nicotiana tabacum (common tobacco)
Lineage: Eukaryota; Viridiplantae; Streptophyta; Magnoliopsida; Solanales; Solanaceae
Source: RefSeq, a predicted model, not a curated record